Molecule: transfer-messenger RNA, 354 nt
Filed under: Verrucomicrobiota bacterium
Lineage: Bacteria; Pseudomonadati; Verrucomicrobiota
Description: Verrucomicrobia bacterium (freshwater metagenome) transfer-messenger RNA
Rfam family: transfer-messenger RNA
About the family: Bacterial tmRNA, also known as 10Sa RNA or SsrA, is named for its dual tRNA and mRNA-like properties.
Source: RNAcentral
GGGGGUGUUCCGGAUUCUACCCUUGGUCGGAGUGUGCCGCCGCCUGUCGAGAGUCGCGGGUCUCUCGCUAAAACCCCUGCGAAAACACAAACGGCAACACUGAAGAGAUGCCCCUGGCCGCCUAAUGACGGCCACGUCGGUCCCGUGACACCUGCUAGCGGGAACCGGCGUCGACAGCAGGCAUGGCGCGCGGAGCGGUCCGCGGACCGCGCGCAGUACCUUCAAUCCGGGGACUGGCUGGUGCCCAAGCGCGUGCGACGGCAUGGCACCGGCGAGAUCGAAGUCGCGCUACACAGGUAGAAGCGGUGCAGGAAGGUCAGGGGCACGCGGGUUCAACUCCCGCCACCUCCACCA